UUAUUUGUAUUUCUCGAUUUAAAUUGAUCUAUUUAAUUAUAAAUUUUAUUGUAACAAUAAUAUUUUAAAUAAUUAUAUAGAAAUGAAAUGUUAAUCGUAAUUUAAUAUAUCUAGUUUUUUAAGAAAUAAAUUUAAUUUAGUUUAUUUAAUAUAAUAAAAUUAUUUAAUAUUUUUAUUAUUUAUAUAAUUUAAUAUUUAUAGGGAUAAGCUUAUAAAUAAAUUAUUAGGAUUUUUAUAAGGGGAUAUUAUGUAGGAUUAGAAAUUUUCAUCAUUAAUAAAAAUGUUAUAAUAAAAUAUUUUAUUAAAUAGAUUUAUAUAUUGAGUCUUAAUUAUUUUAUUAGAAUAAUAAAUUUAAUUUUAAGGUUUUUGUAAUUAUGAUAGAAUUAGUAUAAAAUUUUUAAAUAAAUAUAUUUAAUGUAAGGUUUAUUAAAGGAACUCGGCAAAUAGUAUUCUUGCCUGUUUAUUAAAAACAUGGUUUUUUGAUUAUAAUAAAAGAUUUGGCCUGCUCAAUGAUUAAUUAUUAAAUAGCUGCAGUAAAUUGACUGUACAAAGGUAGCAUAAUCAUUAGUUAUUUAAUUGAUAACUGGAAUGAAGGGUCGGACAAGGAAUAAUCUGUCUUUAAAAAAAUUGAAUAGAAUUUUAUUUUUAAGUAAAAAAGCUUAAAUUUAUUUAAAAGACGAGAAGACCCUAUAGAGUUUUAUAUAAAAUUUUAUAUUUUUUAAUAAGGAUUAUUUAAAUAUAUAAAAUUUUAUAUUUUAUUGGGGCGAUGGAAAAAUUUAAUUAACUUUUUUAAAAUUAAUUACAUUGAUUUAUGAAAAAUUGAUUCAUAUAUUAUGAUUAUUAGAUUAAAUUACCUUAGGGAUAACAGCGUAAUUUUUUUUAGAGUUCGUAUUGAAUUAGAAGAUUGCGACCUCGAUGUUGGAUUAAAAUUUUAACUAGGUGAAGAAGUUUAGUUUAUAGGUCUGUUCGACCU
This 973-nucleotide ribosomal RNA is filed under the name Proculus mniszechi. RNAcentral describes it as "partial 16S ribosomal RNA". Lineage: Eukaryota; Metazoa; Arthropoda; Insecta; Coleoptera; Passalidae. The record is from RNAcentral.